GUGCGCCACCGCACCUGACCCUCAAAUUGCAUUUCUAAGAACACUUAGGAGAUUAAAAUAAUUUAGACAUUACCUAUAGGACAUGGCCAAAACUACAACCAGAAAAAACCGGUAUUAAGUUUACCGAGAAAACAAUAACCUAAACACUCAGCCCCAAAAAGCAGAAAGGAGAAAUAGUGAAACACUAAGAGAGCAGGAAGAAGGCAGUGGCAAGACACACUCACAGGCUGAGCAUGGUGGACAUGCCUGUAAUCCCAUCAGCUCGGGAGGUUGAGGCAGGAGGAUCAUGAGUUAAAGCCAGCCUCAGCAACUUAGUGAGGCCCUAAGCAACUUAGUGAGACCCUGUCUCGCAUUGUGGAUGUGGCUCAGUAGUCAAGUGCUGCUGGGUUCAAUCCCUAGUACUAAAGGAUACACUCACAGAUUACAGACUAGAAACAAAAGAAAAGUAGUAGGCCUAGAAUUCUACAUGCCUGUCCUUCAAGUAAAAGGUAAAUAAGACAACCUGAGCCUUGUGGUCUGAACAGAGGUGAUAAAAUGCAUGUAGAGGCUGAGGCUCCUUUAGUUGAAGUGAUUACGACCAUGGGUUUCAGAUCUUGGAUUUGCUGGAUUUUGGAAUAUCUGCACGUACAUAGUGAGAUAUCUCUGGGAGAGACACAGGUCUAAACAUGAAACUCAUUUAUGUUUCACAUACACCUUAUACAGAUGCCUGAAUGUCACUUUAUACAAUAUUUUUAGUGCAUCUGUGUUUGACAAUGCGUCGUAAGGUCAGGUAUGAAUUUUCUACUUGUGGGGUCAGCACUUGGAAAGUUCUAGAUUUUGGAGCAUUUUGGAUUUCAGAUUUUCAGAUUAGGGCUUCACAAACUGCACUAAGUAGGAAGGAGAAAGUAGAUAGUCACAAGUAAGGCUUUAUGGUAAAAGAGUCCUAUGUUCAACUCCAAGCUAAUACCCAGAAAUUAUUUUAUAGGAAGAUGUUAACAAAAGUAGACACAAGAAAUGGAGAAAACCUGAAUCAUGAGGAAAAACUGUCAAAAC
Molecule: long non-coding RNA, 1032 nt
Filed under: Marmota monax (woodchuck)
Lineage: Eukaryota; Metazoa; Chordata; Mammalia; Rodentia; Sciuridae
Source: RNAcentral